Vicugna pacos (alpaca) is the source of this 4342-nucleotide non-coding RNA. The record is from RefSeq and is a predicted model, not a curated record. NCBI's taxonomy places the organism in Eukaryota, Metazoa, Chordata, Mammalia, Artiodactyla, Camelidae.
CCCCGCAGCAGGGGCGAUUGUGUCAGCACCGGGAGGACCAUGCUGGGACUCUGAACCCGCCUCUCGCCCUGGAGGAACGGCCACCGCUCCGGACAAUACUGAUUACCCGAGAGAGGCAAGUAAGUAUUCAAGGGGUGCUUCACAAAUUAUCUUCCUUAAACCCCAACCCCCUCCCACCCCAAGCCAACACCCCCGCUUCUGGUCUGCAGCUCUUGAGGGACAAGCGACAAGCUGGCGGCAAGGUGGUGAGGGAACUUUCUUCCAGAAUGAAGUGGAAAGCAGUGGUCUUUCUUCCUGGCUGUGGCGACCCAUGCCAGGUAAAACCCCAACCAGGGUCCCUCGUCCAAUUCUCUGUCCCAGGUAAAGGGGUCGGGAUUGGAGGAGAAGCCUAUUGGAACCGAGGUUCGCUGAGCCUGGGGCUGCUUCGGAGGGCCGUAGGAGCGGGUAAUAGGGCUUGGAAUCUGCCAAAGGUUCCGAGCCCGCCGCCAAAUUCACGAAGAAGAAAGGAGGCAGUGAGGGCGCCUGGAAAGCGGCAAGCGGCUUCUCAGCCCGGAACCUGAGAGCUCCUAAGGGGUACUCGACCAGCUCGAGCUGUAGGGGCGUCUAGUUUUCGUACCUACCCGCGGGGCGACGCCGAAACCCAGCUUGCAGUUUAUCUGGCUCGGUCUGACGCCGCGUCGGAGGUGGGCAGCAUCACAGAUUUGAGAGUGCGCGCUCUCCGGACCCAGCCUCUCCAAGCCCACCACCGCCGCCUCGUCUCCCGCACUGCUCUCCCUUCAGACUCUGGAUGCCGCCGACGAGUUGCAUGCAGAAAAGCGGCGGGGUUAGGUGUUCCAGACCUCUCCUCUCUGAUUUGUCCGCCACAAGAUCCUGAGCGCCAGGAGUCCUGGGAUUCUGCCUGCAGAAGACCAGAGAGCUCAGUGCCGAAAGAUAAAAUCUGAAAAGUGCCGGGAGGCAGCUGGGUAACCAUCCCAGUGCAAAGGGCUCUGCGUACCCGCUGCAAUUGAGGCAAAUAACCCCACUAAUCCGGGAAGGAAAAGGAGAGGCUACGAUGAUUGCGCCCAGGAGGGAGCCAGGUGCGCUGGCAAAGCGCAUCUGGUGCAGACACGUCCUUGUCUCGCCUUUUACCCUGGCGGAUGAAGCGCCUGUACUUCAGGGCCCUACCUCGGGAUUAGAAUCAGGCUGCUGAAGGUCCCCAGAGCCCCUCCACGGCGAGUCCGAGACUCCAGCUUCAGCACUAGAGGCUGGACAGCGCCCUGGUCCGAGAGCGCCCAGGGUGGGUUACCGCGCGCUACUUGGCCUCCUCGCCCGACGACGCUCGCAGGCCCUCAGGUCCCACGCGGAGGAGGCUAGAGUUCACUAAGAAAGGAGAUAUUCAUCUUCCCCAUUUCUCCAGGAGUUUGGGUAUCAGAUUCUAGGAGGGCAUUCUAUCUCCCCUUCGCAAAAAGCGGUUGAAAUAACUUGGUCCUAAAUGCUGGCAGGUUGCCGAAGAGAAAAGAGGCGCACCUGUGAGUGAUGAUCUUAGGGGCCAGCGGGGCAGUGGUUCUACCGGGAACCCCAGGCACAGGUGAACUGUGAAAGAGCGCCACUUCCAAGUCGUGUUCUCUCUCGCGACCGCGGCCCCAUCUCCCCUUCUUUCUCUUUCCACAAUCUCCAUACGCCUUAUCGCCAGUGAAUGAAGGGAAAAGCGUGGGAUGGUGGGAGAAGAUAUUGAGAUAUUGAGGCUGAGGAUAAAGAGCACAUUUUAUCAAGGUUGUAAUAUGUCCAAAACGAACAUCAAGGUCCGCAUUUUUAGCCAAAAGAGCCUAAACUGAUCCUUUGUAUGAGGAGCAGAAUGACUGUUUUGAUGGGAAGGAAAAAAGUCACAGAAGGGAAGACGUUAUCACAAAAAGGCUAGCAGGGAUGGGGGAGGAGAAGAGGGGGACAGGACCCCCGCACUAGAGUGUGAUUACCAGGCAACCAGCCCCAGCCUCUUGUUGCCUUGGUUACACUGAGUGGAGGGGCUCCAGUUAUUGAUUAUCCGUGAGCACCUUUAUUCUUUAAAAUAGCUUCUAGAGAGCCUGGGCCUUCCCAGGUUUCGAUGGGUGUCAACAGCCGCUCCUGCAAAAUCCCUCGGGGUUAAGAAGAAAUCCUGGAAUGUGAAUUUUUCCUUUUAAGUCAAGGUGAAAGGCGAAGUAGCUACCUUUCCACCAUCGCAGUCCUUCCCACCCUGUCCCCGGCCCCCUUCAGAGAGGCAAUCAUAUCCUAUUCUGUUCUUUCUCUGGGAUUUACGAUUAAGGCUUUUCCCCCCAUGUGGUUCUUUAGACAGAAGGUCUGAUUCUUACCUCCAUCCCUCACUUUUUCCUCUAAUGAGAAAGACAUAUUUGUUCUUCAUGGAUGAACCAGAGAGAGGAAAUUAUCUAAAGGUGUCUCCAGUUAAAAAAAAAAAAAAGGCUUUCUCCUUGGUUUGGCAGUGUUUUCUCCCUCCCUAAACACCCCCCUCAUGUUGGAAAGGCUGAAUUCUAGAUCAUCCCUUCUUUUCACCUCUUCGCACAGACCACACAGAAAACACAUGUACGUAGAAAUGGGAUUCUCUUAGCAAAAACCACUAGCAUCACCAGUAUCUGAUUCCUCAGAAUUCUUUUAUCUUUUCUUCCUCUUCAGCUCUGCCUUCAAAAUUAGUAAAUGCAGCACUUAAAGGUCCUAAUCCUCUGAACUUUUCCAUUUCCCUUGAUUGACAAAUGUUGAGUCCACUUUUCACUUGUCAGAUUUGUCUGCCUGCAUUCAUUUGUAGUAUCUGGGUAGAAAAUAAUUUUACCCAUAAUUUUCCAAAGACAGCUGUAACAUUCUCAGAAUGAUUUACGGGAAAAUCACUAAUAAGUUAAACGAGUAACCUGUGUUCUGUGCACUGUUUCAUCUAGAACACUUCUUAAGAGCCAUGAGCUUUCUCUUUCCAAAGCAAAACCUUGUUUUAAACAAGCUCUUACUUGACAACAGAGGAAGGGAAGAAAAGUCCAUUAUAGGCAGUAACUGUCAUAUUUUUAUCUUUGUUGCCCUGCAUCAACAAACACACAUAUCUCUCCUUUUCUCUUCUUCAAUUUUUCCUUCACUCAUUGCUAAUGUAAAACUUUUUAAAAAUAUUAUUAUUAUUUCAGGUUAAGUUAAAGGCCAAAAUUAUCCUGCAUGGGCUGGACAGAUAUAGUUUUAGAGACAUUUACAUUAAAAUGCUUUUCCUGCACGUUAUUAUAAAAACUUUUUUUUAAGCCCAAACUAGACAGCUGGUCUGCUUUUUGUACUUUUUUCUUUGGUGCCUUCCUUUAUGAAUUCUCUGGGGCAGCUAUCAUCACAUCAAUAAUGUCCCAUAGCAACAAUAUGGUUUUUUAAACAUUAUUAUUCCCUUUCUUUUCAUUUUCUUUAUGGACAAAGGGUCUACUUUCCUUUCAAGAAGAGAACUGAGAUCUUAUUGACAAAAAAGGAAGAUGCAUCCUUUCAUUGGUUGGUAUGUAUUGCCUUGUUAACCAAUCAGAGGAUGCCAUUUAUUCUUUUCUGACUAGCUAAGUGAGCAGGGUGCCCAGAAUGAUUGAAUCUGCCUUAGUUCCAUCAAGUAGCAAAGGAUGAACUCAGAGUUCUGAGACCCAGGAUUUGCUAUUUGCUUUGGCUAAUCCAGAUUGUAUUUGACUUGUAAGGAUGAAUUUAGCUACCUAAUUAUUUUUAGCUUACUUGAACACAUCUGGAUUACACAUUAUUCUAUGAAUUUUUUUCAUUUAAAAAUAUAUUAUGAUUAUCUUUCCAAGUCAGUGCAGAUUAUUGGUAUCAGCACACCAAUGGUCCAGGGAUCUUUGUGAUUUCCUGUAAAAGUAUAGAAUUGGUCCCCACCCUUAAAGAUUUAGUGAAAACUUGGGGGGAUAAGGAUUGGAAGGUAGAAGAGUGAAGAGCUAUGUUACCCUUGAUGAACAAAUAUUUCAGCUUUUGGAUUCAUUCUGUCCAACUUUGGUGUCCCUGGUAGUUUUGUCUGUUUCUCUAUUUUGAUUCUUCACAGCUGCCCUUCUGGCCCACAUUUUCAGUGACAAGUAGAAAAGCUGGAUGGAUGGAGACAAUGCCCUCUAAUUCCGUGUAAGAGAAGACCCAUAACUUCCCAGGAAGGCUGUGCCGAAGCAACUUACUGCGAAGAAACACCCUGCCCCAUAAGACCAAGAAAAGACACCUGGGUUCCCCCAUUGUGUAUCUUUGAUGAGCGUUUCCUCCUAAGAAGCUCUGGAAUCUGUCCCAAGCUCUUUAUCCUCUCCACCACUCUGGCCACCAGGAUCUUAUCCUGCCUGAAUGUCCACAAUCACUCCCCUCCACCCCUCUUUCUCCUGGGGGG